GAGGAAGAGAAAGAAAAAUCGAUUUCCUGAGUAGCGGCGAGCGAAACGGAAAGAGCCCAAACCAAGAAGCUUGCUUCUUGGGGUUGUAGGACACUCUAUACGGAGUUACAAAAGAAAGUUAUAAAUGAAGCGGUCUGGAAAGGCCCGCCAAAGACGGUAACAGCCCGGUAGUUGAAAUGGCUUUCCCUCCAGAGUGGAUCCUGAGUACGGCGGAACACGUGAAAUUCCGUCGGAAUCCGGGAGGACCAUCUCCCAAGGCUAAAUACUCCCUAGUGACCGAUAGUGAACCAGUACCGUGAGGGAAAGGUGAAAAGCACCCCGGAAGGGGAGUGAAACAGUUCCUGAAACCGUGUGCCUACAAGUAGUUAGAGCCCGUUAAUGGGUGAUAGCGUGCCUUUUGUAGAAUGAACCGGCGAGUUACGAUUUGUUGCAAGGUUAAGCGGAAAAAGCGGAGCCGUAGCGAAAGCGAGUCUGAAUAGGGCGCAUAAGUAACAGGUCGUAGACCCGAAACCAGGUGAUCUACCCAUGUCCAGGAUGAAGGUAAGGUAAUACUUACUGGAGGUCCGAACCCACGCACGUUGAAAAGUGCGGGGAUGAGGUGUGGGUAGCGGAGAAAUUCCAAUCGAACUUGGAGAUAGCUGGUUCUCUCCGAAAUAGCUUUAGGGCUAGCCUCGAGGUAAAGAGUCAUGGAGGUAGAGCACUGUUUGGACUAGGGGCCCUUCUCGGGUUACCGAAUUCAGAUAAACUCCGAAUGCCAUGUACUUAUACUCGGGAGUCAGACUGCGAGUGAUAAGAUCCGUAGUCGAAAGGGAAACAGCC
This 819-nucleotide ribosomal RNA is filed under the name Listeria monocytogenes. RNAcentral's name for it is "partial 23S ribosomal RNA". It matches the Rfam family "Bacterial large subunit ribosomal RNA", at positions 213 to 1027 of the family's 2925-position model. The record is from RNAcentral. Lineage: Bacteria; Bacillati; Bacillota; Bacilli; Caryophanales; Listeriaceae.